This 254-nucleotide ribosomal RNA is filed under the name uncultured bacterium. RNAcentral describes it as "partial 16S ribosomal RNA". It matches the Rfam family "Bacterial small subunit ribosomal RNA", at positions 15 to 266 of the family's 1533-position model. The record is from RNAcentral.
GAUCCUGGCUCAGGAUGGACGCUAGCUACAGGCUUAACACAUGCAAGUCGAGGGGCAUCAGGGUGUAGCAAUACACCGCUGGCGACCGGCGCACGGGUGAGUAACACGUAUCCAACCUGCCCUUUACUCGGGGAUAGCCUUUCGAAAGGAAGAUUAAUACCCGAUGGUAUAACAUGACCUCCUGGUUUUGUUAUAAAGAAUUUCGGUAGAGGAUGGGGAUGCGUUCCAUUAGGCAGUUGGCGGGGUAACGGCCC